This 491-nucleotide ribosomal RNA is filed under the name uncultured bacterium. RNAcentral's name for it is "partial 16S ribosomal RNA". It matches the Rfam family "Bacterial small subunit ribosomal RNA", at positions 29 to 507 of the family's 1533-position model. The record is from RNAcentral.
GUGAACGCUGGCGGUAGGCCUCACACCUGCAAGUCGAACGGCAGCACAGUAAGAGCUUGCUCUUACGGGUGGCGAGUGGCGGACGGGUGAGGAAUACAUCGGAAUCUACUUUUUCGUGGGGGAUAACGUAGGGAAACUUACGCUAAUACCGCAUACGACCUACGGGUGAAAGCAGGGGAUCUUCGGACCUUGCGCGAUUGAAUGAGCCGAUGUCGGAUUAGCUAGUUGGCGGGGUAAAGGCCCACCAAGGCGACGAUCCGUAGCUGGUCUGAGAGGAUGAUCAGCCACACUGGAACUGAGACACGGUCCAGACUCCUACGGGAGGCAGCAGUGGGGAAUAUUGGACAAUGGGCGCAAGCCUGCUCCAGCCAUACCGCGUGGGUGAAGAAGGCCUUCGGGUUGUAAAGCCCUUUUGUUGGGAAAGAAAAGCAGCAGGUUAAUACCCCGCUGUUCUGACGGUACCCAAAGAAUAAGCACCGGCUAACUUCGUG